UGACGGCAGAUGACAGAGCUCAUCGCCCAAUGAUCGGCCAAUCCUUCCCCUCCUUCACACCCUAGCUCCUCCUCCUCCUCCUCCUCGGCGAUUGCCUUUGUGAAUCCGAACGUGACGGCGUCCGCAUUCCAAGAGCGGAAACUCGACCCAGACGGCGAGAGUCACGUGACCGUCUUCCUUCUCUCCACAUAAUGUUCAUAAAAGUGCGCGCGAAUCCGUCGCUCCUGAUAUCCACAAGAAACCGGCAAUUCCUUUGGACUUGAACUUCGUCUCGGUGGGACCAACCUUUUUUUGUGCUAACCAUGUCUGAUGUUGAGAAGGUCUGCGUUGAUGCCAAGGAGAAGGGCUGCUGCGACGACGCAGCCAAGACCCCAGAGCCCACCAAGGAAGGGGACUGCUGUACUGGAUCUACUCCAGCGGACAGCGCCGGCGAGAGCGCGCCUAGCGAGGUCGCAGCCCCACAGGAGGCGUCAUAGCCCAGUCUUUCCACAAGAAGCAGGGAGUCGGCUCCAAAGGGGUUCCGUCACCCAGCAACACCAAAUGAUUCCUAAUUUGUACACUGAAAUCUUUUGCGGCCAAGUUAGUGGCUUGCCCAAACUAUUUAUGUAUACCACGUGAGAUAAAAGCUGAAAAGAAUUGUGUUCACACAAA
Molecule: long non-coding RNA, 651 nt
Organism: Ornithodoros turicata
Lineage: Eukaryota; Metazoa; Arthropoda; Arachnida; Ixodida; Argasidae
Exons: 2
Source: RefSeq, a predicted model, not a curated record